Long non-coding RNA from Cucumis melo (muskmelon), 3586 nucleotides. RefSeq lists it as uncharacterized. NCBI's taxonomy places the organism in Eukaryota, Viridiplantae, Streptophyta, Magnoliopsida, Cucurbitales, Cucurbitaceae. The transcript has 3 exons. The record is from RefSeq and is a predicted model, not a curated record.
AUCUUCCUUAUUCUUUUCCUUUAGUGUUAAAAAAAAAGGAGAGAAAAAGAGGAAGGAGUUCACGUGCAUAACCCCUCUCUCAAAACUUCCUCUCAUGUCAACGUCCUCUCUCUCGUUCUUCAACCGACCAUCGUGGACCUCGCGCCACCACUAGUCAACCACCUCUACGUCAGACAACUCAACCGAUGAAGUUAGCACGCCGCAUGUCAUAGAUCUGGAACUUUUACACACCACUACAACUUUUGUCUGCGGUUUUCGCGCUGCUGCAGUUGCGUCUCCCCCACUUGUCAGAGUUUGCCAUCGUUUUGGUUUCAUCAAAAUUGGACUGUUAUUGCAAGCAUGCUGCUCAAUUUUUCGUUUAGCUCAAGUACACGGUGGAUCUUGAAGUCCUAUGGUGGGUUGUGGUUGUUCCUGAAGUUGGAUCUUGAAGUUUUGGAUUUGGAGUAUUGAGAGAUUUUAGCCGCUGUCCAACCGCAACGAGACUUGAAAUUGAAUGUUGGCACAAAUGUGGGUAAGGUUUCAAGCCUUAUGGUUUAGUUCUUGAAUACCCAUUUAAUUAUCUAGUGCUAAUAUUGAAUAACUCAUGAUGUUGGAAGCUAGAUUUUGAACUUAGAAGGUAGUUAGAUGUUGCCCAUUGAAAUUAAGAGUACUUUGACGAGUUCUUGACAGGUUUUGGAGUAAUUUUGUUGAGUUUUCCUAGAGUUCUUGAAUGUCCAAUAAGUUUAAGCACUAAAAUUGAAUCAACUAUGAUACUAGCUUGGAUCCUAGAGUUGAAUAUUAAAGGUUAAAAAUGGACUUUCCUUUAACUUUAGAGAUUUUUCUUGGGUGUUAUUUAUAUAAGCUUUGAAGCACACACUACAAGAAGGAUAGGGUAUGUCAACGCAGCUCUGUGUCGGUAAAAUUUCAAAAUGCAUCGGUAGAAGCUACGCCGAUGUCGAAACCGAUGUCGGCAAGGACAUCGUGAGAAAUACGUCAGCGUCUCCUCUCCCGAUGUGAGAACGGGAUGACAUCGACAAAAAUUUCUACCGACCCACUCUUUGCCGACAUGGUCAAUACGUCGGUAGUGCAGAACUACGAAUGUUGCCGUGUGCGUCGGCGUUGUCUAGUGUGUGCACCGACAGGGCAAUCAGAUUUAAUUUUUUUAUCAAUUAACGUAAAAUUAAUAAAAAAAUUAAUUUACUUCUAACUUUUAUUAAUUAAUGAAAACUUAAUAAAGAAAAUAUUGAAAUUCUAAAUUGAAUUAGAAUUAACAUAAAAUUAAAAAACGUUAUAAAACUACCAAGUUGAAUUUAUUAUUAAUUGAAAUAUUAAAAAAGUACAUGUUCUAGGUAGUUCUUCAAAUAUAGAUUACAUCAAUAAUACAAAGUAAAAAUGAAAACUUAAGCAUAAUUCAAAGUGUCGACGCCAGUUUCUCAACUUUUGCACAUUGCCUCAACAUCACUGUAGCUAGUAUGAUCAUAAGGACAUGGACAAGAUGUGUAAAGAGGAAAAUCGAACAUUAUUACUAGUUGCGUCGAGAGAAACACGAGGUUGCUUCAAACAAAAAGAACUCUUACUCUGGUGUUCUAGAAAAUUAAUUUGGAAGAGAGGAGCAGAAAAUGACAAGAUCAAGAACCGAACAAAUAAUAUGCAAGUAAAAAAUUUUCUAUGAUUUACAUGUUCGGUUUUCGAUUUUGUCAUUUUCUGAACUACCAAAGUCAGGGUUCUUUCUGUUUCAAGCGAACUUGUAUUUCUCCGGACGCGACUCAUAGUAAUGUCUAACCCUCUUUACACAUGCUACCCAUGUCUCUAUGAUCAAACUAGCUAAAAUAAUGUUCAACUUCUCUUCCUCUGUUUGAGUUCCUCCAUUGCACAUAAUGCUAAAAUACACAACAAGUUCGAUAUAAAAAAUAGAUACAAUAUACAUACAACAGAAUAACCAUCAACAUAAAAUAAAAAACAUUAACAUACAUACAACAGAACAACCAUCAACAUAUAUUCAAAAGCAUAUACAUAAAAAGCAUUCAAAGUGUAUUUGCAUGAUUGGAUAUCAAAGUGAAUAGGGAAAGUUGUUUAUAGUAAGUGGUGAAGGAUAUGUGUCAAUAUGAUGUCCUAAGGUCUUUUCCAUUAAGUUGCACCAUGAGAUUCUUAUAAUGCAUCUACAUUUAUCCCUUGGUGCAACCUUACCAAUUAAAAGAUUGUAUUAUAGGAUUCAGAAUACGGUGAACUUCGUCUUUUCAACUUUGGGAGCAUAUUGAUCCUAUCUUAGAAAUCUAAAAAUGGAAGGUUACCUUACAAGAAUAUCUAAGGUGUUAGUAUAUUCUUGACCAAAGUAACGGUAAUUAAAUUCUUUGGAAUAAAGGGUAUUUAGAUAGUAUUUAGUAAAGAAGGUCUUGGUUCAUUGAAGGAAUAAUCAACUGCCCCUCAGUAGAGGUUCUUCUAAACCAUUGAAAUAUCGUUGCAAAGUAAAAUGUUGGGUACAUUAUUACUUUUGUUAAAACUUGGUUGGUUUUCUAAGAGUCUAUGGCACAUCUCUGAUAGAAUUUGUUUAUGUUUCAAUAUGUCCAGCUCAUUAAUCUAUUUAUUAGCUUCUGACAAACUUAACGGUGAAACUUCGUGGCAAUCAAAUUUAGAUAUAAUGUUAGUACUUGAUGAUUUACGGUUUGUCUUGAAAGAGUGUCCUCUAAACCCUGACUCAACGACUAACCGAAGUGUUGGAGUAUCCUAUACAAAAUAUGUUCGUGGAAAUAAAAUGCUAAGCCUACAUCCUUGCAAGCGUAUCUAAUGUGAUGACGAAGAAGCAUGAAUCAAUUGCAGAAGCGAGAGUGAUUAUGAAAUCGUUGUAAGCUAUGUUCGGCCAACCAUCUUCUGCAUUGAUUCACGAUGCCAUUUAGUACACACGAUAUAACUCCAGAAUAAGGAAGGGGACCUCUAUUAGAGGACAUGUCUUAGACAUGAUGAUCCACUUUAAUUAAGAUGAGAUGGAUGAUUUUAUCAUGGAGUCUCUUCUGAAGAGUUGUUUUUUGUUACGGACUAGAGUCAGAUAAAAUGUCACUUUAACUUUCCUUCUAAAUGAGCUAGAAGAGUUUAUCCAUCCUUGUUGAAAUCAAAAGGAAAAAAGGGAGAAGUAAAUGUUACAUUUUUAAAAAAAUUCAAAGGUUCAUCAAUGGAUAAAAUUGGUCCUUUCUACAUCAAAGCGAAAAGGUAUCCCAGUUGAUAAAAAAAGGAAAAGAGAUGAAGGUUACGACUGCAAAGAAAGGAACAAUGCAAAAAAAGGUAAAUGUCACAUGCAACCAAGAAGAGCAUUGGAAAAGAAAUUUCCCUAAAUACCUUUUUCAAAUGAGGGCUGAAAAAGACGAAUAAGAAAAGCAGUUCCUGGAGACAACUUGAAAACGAUGAGAUAAGUCUCGGUGUUGGAACAUGAGAGCUAGUCCCAGAUGAAAUAGUGAGGAACUUGAGUUGUUUGGAGAUAAUUUUUUUUUUUUGGUUAGAAAAUGUAUUACUUCUUCAUAAGAUGAAAAUGAAUCUUGUAUAUAUCCCAUGUUUGAUGGAACAUAUGUAUAAACUUAUUUUGAUGUUAAUGAAGUGUUCAUUACUUUAAAAAAAU